This 446-nucleotide ribosomal RNA is filed under the name uncultured bacterium. RNAcentral describes it as "SSU rRNA". It matches the Rfam family "Bacterial small subunit ribosomal RNA", at positions 26 to 518 of the family's 1533-position model. The record is from RNAcentral.
AGAGCGAACGCUGGCGGCAGGCCUAACACAUGCAAGUCGAACGGAUCCUUCGGGAUUAGUGGCGGACGGGUGAGUAACACGUGGGAACGUGCCUUUUGGUUCGGAACAACUCAGGGAAACUUGAGCUAAUACCGAAUGUGCCCUUCGGGGGAAAGAUUUAUCGCCAUUAGAGCGGCCCGCGUCUGAUUAGCUAGUUGGUAGGGUAAAGGCCUACCAAGGCUACGAUCAGUAGCUGGUCUGAGAGGAUGAUCAGCCACAUUGGGACUGAGACACGGCCCAAACUCCUACGGGAGGCAGCAGUGGGGAAUCUUGCGCAAUGGGCGAAAGCCUGACGCAGCCAUGCCGCGUGAAUGAUGAAGGUCUUAGGAUUGUAAAAUUCUUUCACCGGGGAAGAUAAUGACUGUACCCGGAGAAGAAGCUCCGGCUAACUUCGCGCCAGCAGCCGC